Molecule: long non-coding RNA, 2028 nt
Organism: Mauremys mutica (yellowpond turtle)
Lineage: Eukaryota; Metazoa; Chordata; Testudines; Geoemydidae
Exons: 5
Source: RefSeq, a predicted model, not a curated record
AGACGGGGAGCAGACUUCCCCUGUGUCCCAAGGGGGACCGCAUUACCCAAGCCGGUCUCACCAGGGCUAAAAGCAGCAGAGGCUGGGGAGACUGAGAAGGUGCCUUGCCACACCGGACAAACCCAUUGUGCAGCAGGAAAUGAUCCUCUGCUUGCUCCCGCUGCUGCUGCAUCUUGAAGACCAGGAUGAGAGUGUGUCACUGGUAAGUGCCACGGUCAUUAUUUCCUUAAGAGCAAAGAGCCAGAAUCCCCUGGGGCCCCCACUCCAUUAAUGGCCAGAGCCCCUUGCCCAAGCAGAGUCUUCUCCCUGCUUCACUCCAUGCUGGAGCCUAGUGCCUCAUCCAUUCGCACAGCACACAGCACAAUUUGGAAGAAAAGCCUUCUUCUGGGAAAGAGUCCUGACCCUCUAUUGCAAAGACAGGCCUCAGGUUUACAACAACAAGAGGCAGCAAAAGAAAAGGGAGCAUAAAUCUGUAAGUGCCCCUUCGGUUCAGGGAGCUGAUAUCUGCCUACAGCCUUCUGGAAAAUGGGUGCAGCUGCCCUGACUUCUUCCCUGGGGCUCCUGAGAGAACUUCUCCAGGUCCUAGCUUCCCAACAUUCACUAGACAUUGAUUUCUUUUGUUGGGCCAAUUGGGAUGUGGAGGGAAGUCUGAUCUGGGGGCCCCUUUGGUCCGACUCUUUGGGAUCCCAAAGCUGACUCACGCUCUCAUGCAGUCUCUUUGCACAGAAGGACUGAGCUGUGGAGAUCUCUUAUGGCUCCCUCCAAUCAAUUCUCAGUUCCCUCUCCUGAGCACAGUCCUGUGUACAACAAAUUACAGGAAUCUCCACUAGCAGGAAAAGAAGAACAAGGGACGGGGAAGGUCCGAUGUCCCCCAGACUAUCGCUCCCUCAAUGAGAACUCUCUUGGUCUCACCUUCUCUUGCAGAGAUGUAAACUGACCCUCUUCCGCUGCACAGUGUUUCUCAGGUGGGCUCAUUUGAAGAUGCUGUUCCGCAGCAUGGCCUGGGAUGGCUCCUCUCAGCUCCUGAAGUGUGCCUGGAAGUGCUUGAUGCAGAACAACGAGAGCUGCAUCCCCAAAUUCCUGUUCCAGGCCUUAGAGUACCUGGAAAGCUCAUUGUAGGGAGCCAGGGUGGCUUCCCUCCGAACCUGAGGGUAAAGAGCUGCUCUCUCAGCCUGAGGAGAUGGGCCAGACCAAGCUUACUCCACCUCCCAGAAGUGGAGCCAUGGAACAGGAAGUACAAAGGGUGGGGCCCUUAGCCCAGUCAGGGCACCACCAGGGAGAGAGGCAGAUGCAGAUCGCUGGCUGUUCCCUUCAGACCCUGCUGCUGGGCCAGGGGAGGCCCUGGACCAGGAGAAACCUGACCUGGAGGAAGGACAAGGGCUGCCAGAGCUGCCUGCCACCGAGUACCCAGAGGAACUGGAGGAGCCUGAGGCGCAGGGAGAGCUGGAGCUGCCAGCAGCUGAGUACCCGGAGGAGCUGGAGGAGCCAGAUGCGGAGGGGGAGCUGGAGCUGCCAGCAGCCGAGUACCUGGAGGAGCUGGAGCUGCCAGCAGCCAAGUACCUGGAGGAGCCAGAGGCGGAGUGGGAGACAACAAUAAGACAUUCUGCAGCCCUGUCCAUUGGAAAUACUAUCCACCAUUACUGCAACUUGUUGUCUGAAACGGUGAAUGAAGAUGGCAUCUCCCACCUGUAUGAAGCUUUUCAGGAAGUGCCUUUGACAUCUGACAGGACCACAUGGUACAUCCUCAAUAGACAUUACAAAUGGUUGCAGAAGCUUGGCAAUCUCGUUUCGGGUUCUGCAUUUGACUAGGGAACUGGAACUGACACAGAAGACCUCUUUGUCCUGCUAUGCAUGGAGAGUUGAUCAGCACAAGUGACCAGGCAGUCCCAGAAUAAAAAAAGAGCUCCAGCAUGGACCGUACGGGAGACACUGAAACUGAUCUCUGUAUGAGGAGAUGAAUCUCUUCUAUCAGAACUCCGUUCCAAUAGACAAAAUGCCAAAACAUUUGAAAAAAUCUCCAAGGCUAUG